Molecule: ribosomal RNA, 497 nt
Filed under: uncultured bacterium
Lineage: Bacteria
Description: partial 16S ribosomal RNA
Rfam family: Bacterial small subunit ribosomal RNA
Source: RNAcentral
GAUGAACGCUGGCGGCGUGCCUAAUACAUGCAAGUCGAGCGAACAGACGAGGAGCUUGCUCCUUUGACGUUAGCGGCGGACGGGUGAGUAACACGUAGGUAACCUACCUAUAAGACUGGGAUAACUUCGGGAAACCGGAGCUAAUACCGGAUAAUAUUUCGAACCGCAUGGUUCGAUAGUGAAAGAUGGCUUUGCUAUCACUUAUAGAUGGACCUGCGCCGUAUUAGCUAGUUGGUAAGGUAACGGCUUACCAAGGCAACGAUACGUAGCCGACCUGAGAGGGUGAUUGGCCACACUGGAACUGAGACACGGUCCAGACUCCUACGGGAGGCAGCAGUAGGGAAUCUUCCGCAAUGGGCGAAAGCCUGACGGAGCAACGCCGCGUGAGUGAUGAAGGUCUUCGGAUCGUAAAACUCUGUUAUUAGGGAAGAACAAACGUGUAAGUAACUGUGCACGUCUUGACGGUACCUAAUCAGAAAGCCACGGCUAACUACGUG